RNAcentral lists this ribosomal RNA (145 nucleotides) under uncultured eukaryote. Its description in RNAcentral is "partial 18S ribosomal RNA". It matches the Rfam family "Eukaryotic small subunit ribosomal RNA", at positions 1299 to 1458 of the family's 1831-position model. The record is from RNAcentral.
UGGUGGAGUGAUUUGUCUGGUUAAUUCCAAUAACGAACGAGACUCUAGCCUGCUAAAUAGACGGGCGAUCCCUUCGUGGGUCGACCCGAUUUGCUUCUUAGAGGGACAAGUGGCGUUCCUAGCCACGCGAAAUUGAGCAAUAACA